UGCUGCUGUGUGGGAAAACACAGUGGAAUGCAAAAGGCUUCCUGCCCCUCUGGCCCAUGGCCGGGUUACUCAUGGUGGCCUUGCUGUUGUUUCUGGGAAGACUGAUGGUGUGACUGGUCUUUCCCCACUGUGCACAGCAACAGGAGGGCCUGCAAGGAAAGGUGGCCCUGCCCAUCAGAUUCCCUCCAGACCCAGGUGUGAGAGCAGUCCUUUCGCUGAGCCCU
This 224-nucleotide long non-coding RNA is filed under the name Capra hircus (goat). Its description in RNAcentral is "lncRNA (ENSCHIG00010006361.1)". Lineage: Eukaryota; Metazoa; Chordata; Mammalia; Artiodactyla; Bovidae. The record is from RNAcentral.